RNAcentral lists this long non-coding RNA (384 nucleotides) under Chrysemys picta bellii (western painted turtle). RNAcentral's name for it is "lncRNA (ENSCPBG00000013265.1)". Lineage: Eukaryota; Metazoa; Chordata; Testudines; Emydidae. The record is from RNAcentral.
ACUAACCCCGUAAAUGGGGUUCCAAAUCCAAAUCUGUCUCCUUUUUUCUGUUAAUUUCAGUUUGCAUAUCACAAGACUUCUUAACUCUGCAAACAGGGAUUUCAGCAUGGUGCAGUAAAAUUCACUUAUAUCUGCCCUCUCUGCGUCUGAGAAUUGGCUGUCUGUUUUCUCCAGGUAUUGUAACACUCACCUCUUCACCUGCCAUCCCUUUUACUUCCCAUAUAUCAGAUGGAUUCUGCUGGACCGGUAACAACCUAGGUUAAUAAGCUGUUCAGCGUCAUGGAAGUACUGAACCGUGUGUUGCUCCAGUUGCUAGGGUGAGCACUCAUUUUUUUAUUUAAAACCGUACAUGUAAAGAGCACAGUUCCCAGGCAGCUCUACCUU